GACGAGGUGGCCGAGUGGUUAAGGCGAUGGACUGCUAAUCCAUUGUGCUCUGCACCCGGUGGGGUUCGAAUCCCAUCCUCGUCG
Non-coding RNA from Ciona savignyi (Pacific transparent sea squirt), 84 nucleotides. NCBI's taxonomy places the organism in Eukaryota, Metazoa, Chordata, Ascidiacea, Phlebobranchia, Cionidae. The record is from Rfam.